This 777-nucleotide ribosomal RNA is filed under the name uncultured Neocallimastigales. RNAcentral's name for it is "partial large subunit ribosomal RNA". It matches the Rfam family "Eukaryotic large subunit ribosomal RNA", at positions 23 to 639 of the family's 3401-position model. Lineage: Eukaryota; Fungi; Neocallimastigomycota; Neocallimastigomycetes; Neocallimastigales. The record is from RNAcentral.
GAGACUCUGUGCGCGUGCAUAUCAAUAAGCGGAGGAAAAGAAACUAACAAGGAUUCCCUUAGUAACGGCGAGUGAAGCGGGAAGAGCUCAAAUUUGAAAUCUUCAAGGUUCUACCCUUGACGAAUUGUAGUUUAUAGAAGUGUUUUCUGUUAGUAGAGUGGCAAAAGUUCUUUGGAAUAGGACAUCAUAGAGGGUGAGAAUCCCGUAUUUUGUCAUUCUUUCUAGCUUUGUGAUACACUUUCAACGAGUCGGAUUGUUUGGGAAUGCAGUCCAAGAUGGGUGGUAAAUUUCAUCUAAAGCUAAAUAUUGGCGAGAGACCGAUAGCGAACAAGUACCGUGAGGGAAAGAUGAAAAGAACUUUGAAAAGAGAGUUAAACAGUACGUGAAAUUGUCAAAAGGGAAGCGUCUGACACCAGUGUUGUUUUUCCGAAAAUCAAUUACGAAUGUUUUGUUUUUGAGAAGUUAUGACUUCAUCGGCUUGCUCCUUUCUUUACGAAACUUUCUUAAUGCACUUUUCGGUUAACAAGUCAACAUCAAUUUCUUUUGUUGUAAAGGGUAUGAGGAAGGUGGCUUUCUUUUCGGAGAAAGUGUUUAUAGCCUUGUACCUCUGCAAUCGGAGAGAUUGAGGUCUGCAGCGUAGAUCCUUCGGGGUUAGAUACAUUUGUGCUAAGUUAUAGCUUUUCAUAGACAACUUGUUGACUAUGAUUAAGUCAUUGUAGCUUACUCGCUUAUGUCUAUUUUACCUACGCUUAGGAUGUUGACGAUCAGCUGAGCGCG